RNAcentral lists this ribosomal RNA (253 nucleotides) under uncultured bacterium. RNAcentral's name for it is "partial 16S ribosomal RNA". It matches the Rfam family "Bacterial small subunit ribosomal RNA", at positions 524 to 776 of the family's 1533-position model. The record is from RNAcentral.
UACGUAGGGUGCGAGCGUUGUCCGGAAUUAUUGGGCGUAAAGAGCUUGUAGGCGGUUUGUCGCGUCUGCUGUGAAAAUCCGGGGCUCAACCCCGGACUUGCAGUGGGUACGGGCAGACUGGAGUGUGGUAGGGGAGACUGGAAUUCCUGGUGUAGCGGUGGAAUGCGCAGAUAUCAGGAGGAACACCGGUGGCGAAGGCGGGUCUCUGGGCCGAAACUGACGCUGAGGAGCGAAAGCGUGGGGAGCAAACAGG